GAUGAAGAACGCAGCGAAAUGCGAUAAGUAGUGUGAAUUGCAGAAUUCAGUGAAUCAUCGAAUCUUUGAACGCACAUUGCGCCUUCUAGUAUUCUGGGAGGCAUGCCUGUUUGAGCGUCAUUAAACCUCUCUCAAGUAUGAUUACUUGGAUGUGAAGGAAGAGUACCUUAAACUUAAGGAGUGUUCUCCUUUGAAAUUGAUUAGCAGAUGGUAAUGUUAUUAAAUCCCUGAUGUUGUAAGAAAUAACAGUGGUUUUGUAGACUAUUAUCUAGCUUUAAAUUAUAAUUUUUAUUAUGGUUGACCUCAAAUCAAGUAAGGAUACCCGCUGAACUUAAGCAUAUCAAUAAGCGGAGGA
This 355-nucleotide unclassified non-coding RNA is filed under the name soil metagenome. RNAcentral describes it as "partial contains 5.8S ribosomal RNA, internal transcribed spacer 2, and large subunit ribosomal RNA". The stretch from base 1 to 120 matches the Rfam family "5.8S ribosomal RNA", at positions 35 to 154 of the family's 154-position model. The record is from RNAcentral.